Molecule: ribosomal RNA, 253 nt
Filed under: uncultured bacterium
Lineage: Bacteria
Description: partial 16S ribosomal RNA
Rfam family: Bacterial small subunit ribosomal RNA
Source: RNAcentral
UACGUAGGGUGCAAGCGUUGUCCGGAAUUAUUGGGCGUAAAGAGCUCGUAGGCGAUUUGUCGCGUCUGCCGUGAAAGUCCGGGGCUCAACUCCGGAUCUGCGGUGGGUACGGGCAGACUAGAGUGAUGUAGGGGAGACUGGAAUUCCUGGUGUAGCGGUGAAAUGCGCAGAUAUCAGGAGGAACACCGAUGGCGAAGGCAGGUCUCUGGGCAUUAACUGACGCUGAGGAGCGAAAGCAUGGGGAGCGAACAGG